This 497-nucleotide ribosomal RNA is filed under the name uncultured bacterium. Its description in RNAcentral is "partial 16S ribosomal RNA". It matches the Rfam family "Bacterial small subunit ribosomal RNA", at positions 28 to 507 of the family's 1533-position model. The record is from RNAcentral.
GAUGAACGCUGGCGGCGUGCCUAAUACAUGCAAGUCGAGCGAACGGACGAGAAGCUUGCUUUUCUGAUGUUAGCGGCGGACGGGUGAGUAACACGUGGAUAACCUACCUAUAAGACUGGGAUAACUUCGGGAAACCGGAGCUAAUACCGGAUAAUAUUUUGAACCGCAUGGUUCAAAAGUGAAAGACGGUCUUGCUGUCACUUAUAGAUGGAUCCGCGCUGCAUUAGCUAGUUGGUAAGGUAACGGCUUACCAAGGCAACGAUGCAUAGCCGACCUGAGAGGGUGUUCGCCCACACUGGAACUGAGACCCGGUCCAGACUCCUACGGGAGGCAGCAGUAGGGAAUCUUCCGCAAUGGGCGAAAGCCUGACGGAGCAACGCCGCGUGAGUGAUGAAGGUCUUCGGAUCGUAAAACUCUGUUAUUAGGGAAGAACAUAUGUGUAAGUAACUGUGCACAUCUUGACGGUACCUAAUCAGAAAGCCACGGCUAACUACGUG